UACGUAGGGACCAAGCGUUGUUCGGAUUUACUGGGCGUAAAGGGCGCGUAGGCGGCAAUUCAAGUCAGCUGUGAAAUCUCCGGGCUUAACUCGGAACGGUCAGCUGAUACUGCUUUGCUAGAGUGCAGAAGGGGCAAUCGGAAUUCUUGGUGUAGCGGUGAAAUGCGUAGAUAUCAAGAGGAACACCUAUUGCGAAGGCAGCUCGCUGGGACGUUACUGACGCUGAGACGCGAAAGCGUGGGAGCAAACAGG
This 252-nucleotide ribosomal RNA is filed under the name uncultured bacterium. Its description in RNAcentral is "partial 16S ribosomal RNA". It matches the Rfam family "Bacterial small subunit ribosomal RNA", at positions 524 to 776 of the family's 1533-position model. The record is from RNAcentral.